UAUGUGUGCUACUGCGCAAGGCUUUUACGUGGGCUCUGGGGAUUUAAACUCCGGGCCUCAUGGCACUGACCCAUCUCCUGCGUUUCUGCUUUUGACACGCCAGCUACACUGCUCCAGGAUUCCCGUGAGCUCUCCUCACCACUGCAGCCCCCAAGGUCACUCAGUCACAGAUUUUCAUUACUUGCUGAAAAAAACAAUGUGCGCUGUACAUCACGCCUGCUCUGGACAAGCCCUUCUCCUCCUCAGCGGUACCACCGAGUCAACCUCACAUAACCUUUCCCAGUCCUGACUAUCCAGCUACUGCAUGCUGUAUAGAAAGAAGACUCAGUCAGUCUGUGGCCCUGAACAGUGACAACCACAGAAAUCGUGGGUCUGUGUGUUAGUGCAGCCCUCGGAUCACCACACCACAGCCACAGGGAUGUAUAGUUAGAGGCAUCCUAGAACCGAAAACGCCGAGGUCAGCCAGAGGGAAUUUCUGAUCAGAGAAUAUACACGGCUGUAGAGAUCCUCACAGCCUAAGACCCUGAUACUCACGGUUGUACCACGUGAUGCUAGGACUCCACUCACUCCAAGUGCCAAGCUGUGAUUAUAGGCAUGGGCCACUAAACCCAGCUCAACUCUACUCCUAUCUAUGCACUUACGACGGGUCGCCAUGAACAACACACAAUAGCAAAUGU
This 677-nucleotide long non-coding RNA is filed under the name Mus caroli (Ryukyu mouse). RNAcentral describes it as "predicted gene 44876 (MGP_CAROLIEiJ_G0004074.1)". Lineage: Eukaryota; Metazoa; Chordata; Mammalia; Rodentia; Muridae. The record is from RNAcentral.